UUCAGAGCAUCGCCAAGCUUUUCGGUCACCACCCAUUCAUUCACCCUGCCUGUCUCUAACAGGCCGAUCAGCGUGGCCUUUGUUCUAUGCAGUGACAUAACAUUCUCGAAGAGGACCCAAAAGAUAAGUAAGUGCAAUGACCUGCAUCAUUGCAUAUUUUCAUGUAAAUUUUUAGGUUGCUCAGAACUGCAAAGCUCUGGAAGUAAAACUGUAGGUUGGAUUUGGCACCUUGGAGUCCCAAUAGAAUUGAGAAUGGUGACGAUGGAUGGCAAAUAGACGUAACCCCACCUUGGUAUCUCAACUUCUGGAAUUAAAACCGUUGCCGGGACAACAAGGCAGUAAAACACAAAGGUCACAAUGUGUCCAAUAAUCUUGCGCACCAAAAAGAAGUUGUAGAUCACAUAGAUCUUCUUCCACAAUGUCACUUUCUGCAUCAAGAUCAAUGGCUUGUUAGCAACAAGAUGCAUGUGUGUUAUAACUUAUAAAAUAUUUCCAUAAUAUAGCUUGGUGCAAGGGACCUUGUUUGUGGCAAUCUCCACCAACAUUUUCCUGAACAGGUUUGCCGGUCCGCAGGACCAUCUGUGUUGUUGAUACCGGAAUGCUUUGAAUGUACUUGGAAGUUCACUUUUCACCU
RNAcentral lists this small RNA (634 nucleotides) under Oryza sativa Japonica Group (Japanese rice). Its description in RNAcentral is "sRNA Os06g0625766". The record is from RNAcentral. Lineage: Eukaryota; Viridiplantae; Streptophyta; Magnoliopsida; Poales; Poaceae.